This 3831-nucleotide long non-coding RNA is filed under the name Marmota monax (woodchuck). Lineage: Eukaryota; Metazoa; Chordata; Mammalia; Rodentia; Sciuridae. The record is from RNAcentral.
UCCCCCAAAAGAGUGUUCCUGCACAUGUUGAGAAAUGCUUCUGAUUAGGGCUACUUCAACAGGGAACAUAGCAUAGAGUGGACACUGAGAAUAAACUGUGGGUGUCACAUUUGGAGAAAGUAGCACAAAACGUGUUGGAUUUCCACUUUGAAUUGCAUUCAUCACUAUAGGUCAAAAUGAAGUGAAACCUGCAAAUUAAAAGCAUCCCUGCCAGCAAACCCAUGAAAUUAGAAUGACCAAAUUUGCAGGGCUAAUUAAACUUAUGAAUGGAUUCAUGAUGCUCAUUAUCAAUGAACUUCUCAGGAAAAAUUUGGUCAGAGAUUCCAGUAAAUUUGGAAGCUGCUCAAAGGCUCCCCAAAGAAGGAGUUCCUGCUCUCACUGAGAAAUACAACUGCUUAGAGUUACUUCAACAGAUAUAAGAAGAUAACUGAGUUUGUGAAGUCUCAAUCAAGUAGCACAAUCCAUGUUUGAUUUUUGUUUGCAAUUGCUUUCAUCCAUAUUGGGCAAAACUAUGUGUAAUCUGAAAAUUCAAAGCAUUUCUCUCACCGAAUCCUUGAUCGUAAAAGACACAAAUUUGGAGGGCAAGGUAAGACUGGUGCAAUAUUCAAUCUUGCCCAGUAUCCAAAACAUCCACUGAAAACCUUAAUCAGAAUUCCAGUAAGUUUUAACAUUAAUGUUAGCUGCUAAAAUGCUCCCCAUAACAUGUAUUACUGCAUGUGCUGAAUACUGCAAUAAGAAUCAAAGCCAGAGUGCACCCUGAGAACUGAUUCUUCGAAGUUUUAAGCAGUUAGCCUAAACUGUUUUGGAUUUUCAGUUCAAAAUACAUUCAUCAUUGUAGGGCAAAAAGAAGUGAAACUUAAAAUUAAAAGCAUUCCUGCCAGAGGAUACAUGAACAUAGGAAGAUCAAAUAUUGAAGGGCAAGAUAAGACUGGUGAAUGACCAACUUGCCCAGUAUCAACAAAAUCUAUGGGAAAUGUUCAUGCAGAAAUCCCAGUAAAUUCACACUUUCCUGCCAGGGCCAAAUACCACCCAACAGAAGGUGUUCUUAGAUGUGCUGAGAAAUGCUUCUGCCUAGCAAUACUUCAAUAGGGAUCAAAGCAGUGUGUGGAAAUUAAGAACUAACUGAGUCUGUGAAGUUGAGAGAACCUUGCUCAAACUCAGCUCCAUUUAUAUUUCCAAUUACAUUAAUCAAUAUAGUGUUAAACAAAGUGAAACCUGAAAAUUCAAAGCCUUCUUUCCAGGAAAUUCUUGAACCUAGGAGGACCAUAUUUGGGGGCCAAUGUGAGAUUGCAGGAAGUAUCAAUGUGGCCCAGUAUCAACAACAUUCGCAAGAAAAAUUUGAGCAGAUAUUCUAGUAAAUGUGAACUCUCCUGCAAGUUUCCAAAAUGCUCCCAAUAGAAGGUGUUCCUGCACUUGCUGAGAAAUGCUUGUGCUUAGGGCUACUUAAACAGGGAACAGAGCAUGAAGUGAAAACUGAAGACUAACUGAUUGUGUGAACUUUCAUAUCACUAGCACCAACCAUUUUGGAUUUCAAAUUCCAAUUGCAUUGAUUCCUACAAGGAAAAUUGAAGUGAAACCUUCAAAUUUGAAGCCUACUUGGCAGCAAACCCUUGAACCAAGGAAGACCAAAUGUGGGCUGCAAGAUAGGAAUGGUGAAAAAAUCCAUCCUUCCCAGUACCAAUGAAAUCCUUAAGAAAACUUUGGCUAGAGAUUUCAGUAAAUUGGGACUUUCUUGCAAGGUUCUGGAACGCUCCCCCCAAAAGGUGUUUCUGCAUGUGUUGAGAAAUGCUUCUAGUUAGGGCUACUUCAACAGGAAACAGAGCACAGAAUGCACACUAUGAACUAACUGAGUGUGUCAUCUUUGAAGAAACUAUCACAAAACAUGUUGGAUUUCCAGUUUCAAUUGCAUUCAUCACUAUAGUUCAAAAUGAAGUGAAACUUGCAAAUUGAAAGCAUUCCUGCCAGUGAACUCCUGAACCUAGAGUGACAAAAUUGUGGGGGCUAAUGAAUCUCUUGAAUGGGUCCAUCUUGCCCAUUAUCAAUGAACUCCUUAGUCAAAAUUGGGGCAGAAAUUCCAGUAAGUUCAGAUAUUCCUGCAAAAGGAGGUGUUCUUGCACUAGCUGAGAAAUGCAACUGCUUAGAGCUUUUUUCAACACAGAAAAGAGCACAGAAUGUACACUGAAAAAUAACUGUGUGCAGCCUCAAGCAAGUAGCACAAAUCAUGUUUGAUUUUCAUUUACAAUUGCUUUCAUCCCUAUAGUGCAAAACUAAGUGUAAUCUGAAAAUUCAAAGUCUUCCCCUCAGCACAUUCUUGCACAUAAAAGAAUCAAGUUUGGAAGGCAAGGUGGAACUGGUGCAAGGAUGAAUCUUGCCCAGUAUCCAAAACCUCCAUUGAAAAACUUGGUCAUAAUUCCAGUCAAAUCAAACAUUAAUGCAAGCUACCAAAAUCCUCACAAAAGAAGUUGUUAUAGCAUGUGAUGAAUGCUGCAACAAGGGACAAAGUCAGAGUGCACACUGAAAACUAAGUGAGUUUAUGUAGUUUCCAGCAGCACACACAAAUUUUGUUGGAUUCUAAUUCCAGUUACAUUCAUCCAUAUAGGUCUAAACACAGUGAAACCUGAAAAUUUAAAGUGUUCCUCGCAAGGAACCCUGAACCUAGGAAAACUAAAUUUGGGCAGGGAGCUAAAUGAGAUUGGUAAAUGGAUUCAUCCCAUCUAAUGUCAAUGAAAUCUGUAGAAAAAUUUUGUUUAAUUUGUUUACUGUUUUCAGUAAAUUCAGACUUUUCUUCAUGCUGCUUAAUCUCUUCCAAAAGGAGGUGUUCUUUUACCUGUUGGAAAUGCUUCUGCUUAAUGCUAAGCCAACAGGAACAGAGCAGUGAGUGCACACUGAAAAUUAACUGAGUGUGUGAAGUUUCAAGCACCUAGCCCAAACUGUUUAUAUUCCAGUUCUAAAUGCAUUCGUCUCUACAGGAAAAAACGAAGUAAAACCUGAAUAUUCAAUGCCUUGUUUCAGGCAAACCAUUGAACCAGGGAGAACAAAAUUUGAGGGAAAAGGUGGGACUGGUGCAAGGAUCAAUCUUAGCCCAGUUUAAAAAAAAUCUGCUGAAUAAUUGGUCAGACUUCCAGUCAGUUCAAACAUUAAUACAAGCUGCCAAAACACUCUCAAAAGAAAGUAUUACUACUCACAUUGCAUACGUCGAUAGGGGACAAAGCUGGGAGUGCACACUAGGAACUAACUGUGUCUGUGAUGUUUCAAACAGCUAACAAAAACCAUUUUUUUUGGAUUCCUGAUUGAAAAUGCAUUCAUCCUUGUAGGGUAAAAAAAUGAAUCCAGAAAAUUCAAAGCAUUCCUGCCAGAGAAUCCUUGAACCUUGGAAGACCACAUAUUGUUUGGCAAUGUAAGACUGGUGAAUGAUCAUCUUCCCCAACAUCAACAAAAUCUACAGGAAAAUUUUAUGCAGAAAUUCAAGUAAAUUCACACCUUCCUGCUUGGUGACAAAUUACACCCAAUAGAAGGUGUUCUAUCUCAUGUUAAGAAAUGCUUCUGCCUAGGGAUACAUCAACAGGGAUUGAAGCAGGGAGUGCACAUUAAGAAGUAACCGAGUUUGUAAAGUUUCAAGAACCUAGAACAAACAAUUUUUGAGAUCCAUUUCUAAUUACAUCCAUAUCUAUAGUGCAAAACAAAGUGAAAUCUGAAAAUUCAAAGCCUUCUUUCCAGGAAUCUCUUAAACCUAGGAGUACCAUAUUUGGGGACCAAGGUAGGACUGCUAAAAGUAUCAAUCUGACACAAUAUCAAUAAAAUUUUCAGGAAAAAUUUGCACAGAAAUUCUUG